CCUACGGGGGGCAGCAGUGGGGAAUAUUGGACAGUGGGCGAAAGCCUGAUCCAGCCAUGCCGCGUGUGUGAAGAAGGCCUUCGGGUUGUAAAGCACUUUCAGUGGGGAAGAAAGCCUUGGGGCUAAUACCCUCGAGGAAGGACAUCACCCACAGAAGAAGCACCGGCUAACUCCGUGCCAGCAGCCGCGGUAAUACGGAGGGUGCGAGCGUUAAUCGGAAUUACUGGGCGUAAAGCGCGCGUAGGCGGUCUGAUAAGCCGGUUGUGAAAGCCCCGGGCUCAACCUGGGAACGGCAUCCGGAACUGUCAGGCUAGAGUGCAGGAGAGGAAGGUAGAAUUCCCGGUGUAGCGGUGAAAUGCGUAGAGAUCGGGAGGAAUACCAGUGGCGAAGGCGGCCUUCUGGACUGACACUGACGCUGAGGUGCGAAAGCGUGGGUAGCAAACAGGAUUAGAUACCCGAGUAGUC
Molecule: ribosomal RNA, 465 nt
Filed under: Vreelandella stevensii
Lineage: Bacteria; Pseudomonadati; Pseudomonadota; Gammaproteobacteria; Oceanospirillales; Halomonadaceae
Description: partial 16S ribosomal RNA
Rfam family: Bacterial small subunit ribosomal RNA
Source: RNAcentral